RNAcentral lists this ribosomal RNA (253 nucleotides) under uncultured bacterium. RNAcentral's name for it is "partial 16S ribosomal RNA". It matches the Rfam family "Bacterial small subunit ribosomal RNA", at positions 524 to 776 of the family's 1533-position model. The record is from RNAcentral.
UACGAAGGGUGCAAGCGUUACUCGGAAUUACUGGGCGUAAAGCGUGCGUAGGUGGUUCGUUAAGUCUGAUGUGAAAGCCCUGGGCUCAACCUGGGAAUGGCAUUGGAAACUGGCGACCUAGCGUGCGGUAGAGGGUAGUGGAAUUCCCGGUGUAGCAGUGAAAUGCGUAGAGAUCGGGAGGAACAUCCGUGGCGAAGGCGACUACCUGGACCAGCACUGACACUGAGGCACGAAAGCCAGGGGAGCAAACGGG